CACACUCCUAAAACACCACUGAAAGCAUAUUCUAUGUAUUAGGAGCUCACGUGAUGGCAAUGGGAAUUUGCACUUGGGAUUAGAAAUGUCUGCCACAUAGCAGGCAGAUGAGCAGACAGCUGGGUCCACUUUGUGCAUUAAGAUCUAAUAAGUCAUUCCGUUUCUCCACAGGUCAAACCAUACAACUGGUUGUGAGAGUGGUCUUGUGAGGUGUUGUGCUGCAGUGCAGGGGUGCACUUGCCCUCCUUGCUGAGCUCUGCUUUCUGCUAGGCACAAAGGGAGGUAAGAGGUGAGCUCCCUGCCCAGCUCUGCUCCUCCCUCAGCUGUGGGCUGCAAGAGUGACACAGAGGUGUAUGCAUUACAGCCCAAGGCAAAAAUAUCCAUGCCUUCCCCAAAGAUCUCAUGGUGCUUCUGCGGACCAGAUGGUUCCAAUUUGAGGCCUACACUCGGUGAUGUAGCUGUAUUGAGUUUCUUCCCUGAAACCAACAAAACCUGCUUUAGCAUUUUGCUUGGAUUAAAAUAUUUGUCCCUUUUUUCACAGGGCAGAAGAGGGACUCCUGAAGCCACUGAAGGAAGGAAAUCAUUACAGGGUUCUACAGAACAAACUAACAUUUUUGUGAAGGCUCAAACUGCUUUCUUUAACAACUGUGAUUAUAAAAGAUGACGA
RNAcentral lists this long non-coding RNA (667 nucleotides) under Phasianus colchicus (ring-necked pheasant). RNAcentral's name for it is "lncRNA (ENSPCLG00000015468.1)". Lineage: Eukaryota; Metazoa; Chordata; Aves; Galliformes; Phasianidae. The record is from RNAcentral.